RNAcentral lists this ribosomal RNA (257 nucleotides) under uncultured bacterium. RNAcentral's name for it is "partial 16S ribosomal RNA". It matches the Rfam family "Bacterial small subunit ribosomal RNA", at positions 99 to 354 of the family's 1533-position model. The record is from RNAcentral.
CGGACGGGUGAGUAACGCGUGAGCAACCUGCCUUUCAGAGAGGGAUAACGUUUGGAAACGAACGCUAAUACCGCAUGACAUUAUCUUAUCGCAUGGUAGGAUAAUCAAAGGAGCAAUCCGCUGAAAGAUGGGCUCGCGUCCGAUUAGGUAGUUGGUGGGGUAACGGCCCACCAAGCCGACGAUCGGUAGCCGGACUGAGAGGUUGGACGGCCACAUUGGGACUGAGACACGGCCCAGACUCCUACGGAAGGCAGCAG